UUCAUUGUAGGUUGAUUACCGAUGGUUUCAUCGGUAAUUACCACUUGUGCAAAAAUGUGAACCCAUAUGUCUUAAGAUUUAGUUGGAAAUUAUUAUUAUCAAGUUAGGGUGGAAAAAUAGGGUAUGAUUAAAUCGUUGAUGUCAGUUCCAUUUAUGUAAUUCAUAUUGCAGCCCAUCGAUGCUCCAAAGGAACGGAUGUUGCAGGAUGCCGAUAUAAAUAAAGUUAGGGCACAUUCAUUCGGAAAUCCAAUAGAGGCGAACAAAGUAAUUACAAGUGUCCUCACAAGUGAGCAGCUCGAAAAGUAUAGACAAACAUGUUUUGGACACUUACUUGACAUGAAGAACCUCCGGUUCUCUGGUCAGUUAGUGCAUCACCUGCUUUGCAGACAAGUUGUGUCCAACAAUUCAGAAGUACUGGAGUUUAACUUCGGCGGAUCUGCAGUGCGGUUUACGAAGUGGGAAUUCGCACUCAUUAGUGGGUUAAAGUUUUGUAGGUACCCUUCGAUGUAUGAUAUGCAAAUUUCCAAAGGAAAUGAGCUGCGCACGAGGUUGCUAGAUGACAGGAGUGACUUGAAACCGCCCGAACUAGAAUGACUAUUCAAGGAUACACUUUUUGUGGAUGAUUGGGAUGCUAUUAGAAUUGCGUUACUAUAUUUCUUAGUUCAUGGUGUACUCGGAAUGGAUCCGAAGGUUCAAAUAAAAAAAAAAUUCAUUGAUUUGGUUGCUGAUCUCGACGUAUUUAAUUCCUACCCUUGGGGCAUUCUGAGCUACAAGGAGACGAUCAACUCAUUCCACAAUGCAUUCCAGCAAUGAGGACGAGGACGUGCAGUAAAGAAUAUAUCACAGUAUUAUGACCUAAAAGGUUUUCCAUUGGUGUUUCAGGUACGGUAAUAUAUUUAAUACAUGUAGCGUUUACUUAAAAUUUAUAUUUAAUAACCUAUAAUUUGUAUUUUGUAGGUGUGGGGGUUUGAAGCAAUCCCUGAUUUUGGUAACCAAUAUGCCGACCGGUUGGAAACCCGUUGUCCGAGGAUCCUUGGAUGGCAUACUUCAAGGCAACCGAACCAUUUUGCUGUCCAUAAUUGGUUCUCCUCCAAUAGCAAUUAUGUUUUGCACUGGAGGUUAGAUGCUUCCGAUGAGGAGAAGACUAUGGAUUACUGGCGAACAAUAGCAGUUGACAUACAUGAAGUUCGCUACACGUCACCUCCAAUUGUAGCACCAAUAGUUGGCGCUAAAGAUGUUGGCGCUAAAGAUGUUAGCGCUGAAGAUGCGUCCAAAGCUGAGGAGCAUUCUAGUGGCCCUCCAAAUGCUAAUUUCAGGCUUGCUUGCUUGGAGGCAAAAUUUGAUGACUUAAAUAAAGAGAUGGCAGCGUUAAGGAAGAUGCUUAGUUCUGUUAUUGACCAACAAAAGCAUCAGG
Ziziphus jujuba (common jujube) is the source of this 1414-nucleotide long non-coding RNA. RefSeq lists it as uncharacterized. Lineage: Eukaryota; Viridiplantae; Streptophyta; Magnoliopsida; Rosales; Rhamnaceae. The record is from RefSeq and is a predicted model, not a curated record. The transcript has 3 exons.